ACCGACAGAAUGGGAAAAAAUAUUUGCAAACUAUGCAACAGAUAAAGGGUUAAUAACCAGAAUCUACAAAGAGAUCAAGAAACUCCACAAAAACAAAACCAACAACCCACUUAAGAGAUGGGCCAAGACCUCAAUAGACAUUUUUCAAAAGAGGAAAUCCAAAUGGCCAACAGGCACAUGAAAAAAUGUUCAAGGUCACUAGCAAUCAGGGAAAUGCAAAUCAAAAGCACAAUGAGGUUUCACCUCACCCCGGUUAGAAUGGCUCACAUACAGAAAUCUACCAACAACAGAUGCUGGCGAGGAUGUGGGGAAAAAGGGACACUAACCCACUGUUGGUGGGAAUGCAAACUGGUCAAGCCACUAUGGAAGUCAGUCUGGAGAUUCCUCAGAAACCUGAAGAUAACCCUACCGUUCGACCCAGCCAUCCCACUCCUUGGAAUUUACCCAAAGGAGUUUAAAUUGAUAAAGAAAAAAGCGGUCUGCACCCUAAUGUUUAUUGCAGCACAAUUCACAAUAGCCAAGACCUGGAACCAACCUAAAUGCCCAUCAAUGGUAGACUGGAUAAAGAAAUUAUGGGAUAUGUAUUCUUUAGAAUACUAUACCGCAGUAAGAAACAACGAAAUCCAGUCAUUUGCAACAAAAUGGAGGAAUCUGGAACACAUCAUGCUGAGUGAAGUAAGCCAGUCCCAAAGGGACAAAUACCAUAUGUUCUCCCUGAUCGGUGACAACUGACUGAACACCAAAAAGGAAACCUGUUGAAGUGAAAUGGACACUAUGAGAAAUGGUGACUUGAUCAGCAUAGCCCUGACUGCUAAUGGACAACUUAAUACAUUAUCCCUCAUAGUAUUUUUUUUUUGUCUGUUCUACUUAAUAUGACUGGUUUAAUUCUGUAAUUAUCACACAGUUAUUCUUAAGUGUUGAAAAUUAACUGAAAUGUGAUCCCUGUUAAACAUAAAAGUGGGAAUAAGAGAGGGAAGAGAUGUAUAAUUUGGGGCAUGCUCGGGCUGACUUGCCCCAAUUGGUAGAGUUGGAAACAUACUAGGGGAUUCCAAUUCAAUCCCAUCAAGGUGGCAUGUGCCAAUGCCAUCUCACUAUUCCAAGUGAUCAAUUUCAGUUCACAAUUGAUCAUAAUGAAAGGACUAAGAGUCAAAGGGAGCACAUAAACAAGUCUAGUAUCUGCUAACACUAACCGAUAGAAUAAAUAAAGGGGAGAGUGAUCCAACAUGGGAAGUGAGAUACUCAGCAGACUCAUAGAAUGGCGGAUGUCCUAAAUAGCACUCUGGCCUCAGAAUCAGCCCUAAAGGCACUCGGAUCUGGCUGAAAAGCCCAUGAGAGUAUUUCAGGCAUGGAAAGCCAAGACACUCUGGCAAAAAGAUCUCUGUGAGUGAGAUCCCAGUGGAAAGAACAGGUCUUCAAAGAGGGAGGUGCCUUUCUCUGAAGGGAGGAGAGAACCUCCACUUUGACUAUGACCUUGUCUAAACAAGAUAAGAGUCGGAGAACUCAAGGGGCUUCCAUAGCCUUGGAAACUCAUGACUGGUGCAUAGGGAGAUUACUGAUGCCAUAAACAGGAGUGUCAAUUUGUAAAGUCAACAACAGGAGUCACUGUGCACUUACUCCUCAUGUAGGAUCUCUGUCCUUAAUGUGCUGUACACUGAGGCUUAAUGCUAUAACGAGUACUCAAACAGUAUAUUUCACUUUGUGUUUCUAUGGGGGUGCAAACGAUUGAAAUCUUUACUUAAUGUACACUAAACUGAUCUUCUGUUAAAAAAAAAGAAAAAAAAAAGAAACUAUCAAUUCCCAACUUGACUCUCACUGGGAUUAAACAUGACAAUAGGUCUGAUCUGAUUUCAUCAUCAUUUAAAAAAAAAAUCAUCUAUUAUUUUUCACUUUAUGUUUCUGUGUGGGAACAAACUGUUGAAAUCCUUACUUAAGGUAUACUAAGCUGAUCUUCUGU
Molecule: non-coding RNA, 1954 nt
Organism: Oryctolagus cuniculus (rabbit)
Lineage: Eukaryota; Metazoa; Chordata; Mammalia; Lagomorpha; Leporidae
Source: RefSeq, a predicted model, not a curated record